RNAcentral lists this long non-coding RNA (815 nucleotides) under Bos indicus x Bos taurus (hybrid cattle). RNAcentral's name for it is "lncRNA (ENSBIXG00000010950.1)". Lineage: Eukaryota; Metazoa; Chordata; Mammalia; Artiodactyla; Bovidae. The record is from RNAcentral.
UUUCAGAGCACAUUUGGUUAAGUUAUUGACAGAUGGGAAGCCUGUGUGGGCUGACACAAAUGGUUGUCACACGCCAUCUAGUGGCUCUAUGAGAAAGUGUGCUCAUUUCCAGGGAAAGAUUUUUGGAGCCAGCUUGUCUGCUUCGGAAUUUCAGCGCCUGCCAGGAAACCAAUGUACGUUUGUCCAUCUUUAAGGCUUUAAACUGAGAGGGACCACUGAGGACAGUAUGCCAAAUUAUCUUCCAAAAUCUCUGUCCUAAGGAACACCUAGGAAGUAACUAUUCGGGGGAACUGUUUUCUUUCUGGAUCCGGAGCAAAACUGGGAAGUCAUCGGAGAAAGCUUUGCCUGCAACAGUUGUGGUAUAAAACAAGCCUCUACGAGACACACUGUGGGUAUCCCGUGGUCCAUAGUACUAUACGGAAACCACUGAAGAGGGGAAGUGGACAGAGGAUUAAGAGUGUGUACUUUGCCACAAAACUCCCUGGCUUGGAAUCCUGGCUCUGGGACCUUGAGUGUCAGUUUGGGGGCUGUGGACAGAAGCACAUGGGGAUGGCCGUGCUCGGUUUAGCCACUCCGGCACUGACGUGAUGGAGUCUGUCCAACUGGAGGAAGGGAAGGAGGCUGGGCGAUGUUGCUAAAGAACCAUCACUUUUGCAAGAGAAUUUGAGAGUAAAACAAGCUAAGACAUCAGUUUGGCCCUCACUCUCACUGGGCCCAGCUUGGAGCAAGGACAUCUUUAGGUGACAUAACAGAGUCCUAAGGGUUUUUCGUAUGUUAGGAAUAAAUGCUUUUGGUUACUGAUUAAAAUCUGCCUC